GAUGAACGCUGGCGGCGUGCCUAAUACAUGCAAGUCGAGCGAACAGACGAGGAGCUUGCUCCUCUGACGUUAGCGGCGGACGGGUGAGUAACACGUGGAUAACCUACCUAUAAGACUGGGAUAACUUCGGGAAACCGGAGCUAAUACCGGAUAAUAUAUUGAACCGCAUGGUUCAAUAGUGAAAGACGGUUUUGCUGUCACUUAUAGAUGGAUCCGCGCCGCAUUAGCUAGUUGGUAAGGUAACGGCUUACCAAGGCAACGAUGCGUAGCCGACCUGAGAGGCUGAUCGGCCACACGGGAACUGAGGCACGGUCCAGACUCCUACGGGAGGCAGCAGUAGGGAAUCUGCCGCAAUGGGCGAAAGCCUGACGGAGCAACGCCGCGUGGGUGAUGAAGGUCUUCGGAUCGUAAAGCUCUGUUAUUAGGGAAGAACAAAUGUGUAAGUAACUAUGCACGUCUUGACGGUACCUGAUCAGAAAGCCACGGCUAACUACGUG
RNAcentral lists this ribosomal RNA (497 nucleotides) under uncultured bacterium. RNAcentral describes it as "partial 16S ribosomal RNA". It matches the Rfam family "Bacterial small subunit ribosomal RNA", at positions 28 to 507 of the family's 1533-position model. The record is from RNAcentral.